GGUCGUAACACGGGUGCUGCAUGGCUGUCGUCAGCUCGUGUCGUGAGAUGUUGGGUUAAGUCCCGCAACGAGCGCAACCCUUGUCAUUAGUUGCUACAUUCAGUUGGGCACUCUAAUGAGACUGCCGGUGACAACCGGAGGAAGGUGGGGAUGACGUCAAGUCCUCAUGGCCCUUAUAGGUGGGGCUACACACGUCAUACAAUGGAUGGUACAAAGGGUCGCCAACCCGCGAGGGGGAGCCAAUCCCAUAAAGCCAUUCGUAGUCCGGAUCGCAGUCUGCAACUCGACUGCGUGAAGUCGGAAUCGCUAGUAAUCGUGGAUCAGAAUGUCACGGUGAAUACGUUCCCGGGUCUU
Molecule: ribosomal RNA, 354 nt
Filed under: uncultured Acidovorax sp.
Lineage: Bacteria; Pseudomonadati; Pseudomonadota; Betaproteobacteria; Burkholderiales; Comamonadaceae
Description: bacterial SSU rRNA
Rfam family: Bacterial small subunit ribosomal RNA
Source: RNAcentral